RNAcentral lists this long non-coding RNA (1328 nucleotides) under Olea europaea subsp. europaea. Lineage: Eukaryota; Viridiplantae; Streptophyta; Magnoliopsida; Lamiales; Oleaceae. The record is from RNAcentral.
UAGGAUUCAAAUUUGGUUCUCAUAUUUCAAAUUUGAUAUUGAAUACAUAAAAGAUAAAACUAACUUUCUUCCUGAUUAUCUUAGUAGGGAUGGAGCUAGAACAAUUAAGGACGAAAGUCCAAAUACUUGAGAUAAAAGUUUCCUAUUUGGAAACACAAAUUCAAAAUAUCCAAAAUAGCUUUCGAGGCAAAAAUAUAACCCUUGAGGCAGAAGUUACUUGUACCAAAUCUAGUAUCCCUUCGCAGGGACUUGUGAAUACUAGCGCUCUCCCCGAGGAUAAAGGGAAAGAAAAGAAGGUAAUAGGAACCCCUUCACAUGGAAAACUUGAACUUAUUACUGGUAAUAAAGAUAUUCAAAAUAUCAAAAGAGAAGGUAGCUCUUCAUAGAGCCAAACUCAAUCUAAUAUUUCUAUUGAAAUGAUAGAUCAAAAAGAUAUUGUCAAGAUAUGCCAUGAAGCAAAAAUUCCCAGAAAAGAUAACCACGAAGAAGUAACACUCUUUAUUGUUAUUUUUAAUAUUUUAUCAGAUUGGUAUCUGAAAAUUGGAAAGUGGAUGAAGACUCUCUACUAUUCAAAAUACAACAAGAUAAAUUUUUAUCCAGGAGCACCAGUCAACUGUGUUCGAAAUUGUUUUGAAAUAGGAAAUAUACUUUGUAUAUAUCCUAGCAAAGAUCUCAAAAAGAUAGCUCAGCUUCCAGCCAACAUUAGGAAAGCUGUUAAAAGAUAUAUUGAAAUCGUCAAGACAACAAAUAUAUAUCAGAUUCCAUUCAGCAACCAUGGAAUGGGAUCCUAUUCUUGAAUAUAUGCAUUCAUCUUUCCAUGUGAUAAAAAUGGGACUUACAAAUCAACAUUUUUUACCAACCAAUCAAAAGGUUGUUAAAAAUGGAUAUCAAGAUAUUCUAAAUAUGAUGUCCUACAAAAAAGCAAAAGGGUACAAAGAGAUAUUUGAACAUGUAACUCAGAUAAUCACCGAGAAAGAAAAAAUAUGGGUUUAUCCAUCUGAAAAUCAUGUUAUCUAUUCCAAUGCAAGGAUGGCUACCAAGGAAGAAGAUAUUUGUUAUCUCGACCAUUUAUUAUUUGCAAUUAUUUCCAAGCAAGUGCAUGGAUCAGAAGAUAUGGCUAAAGAACUAUGCAAAUUGCUCUGGAAUUACAGUGAUCACCAUUGUGAAUACUGUGUAGUUGAAGAUAUGAGCCAAGCAUCUCUUAAUUGUGAAGAAUUCCCUGCAGAAUUCUUUGAUUCGAAAAUGGAAAAGUGAUGGUGACAAAAGUAACCCUUUAUCACUACUUUAAUAAAGAAAUUUAUUAAAGAAAAACUGUGGCUACUAAAAGA